CUUAUAGAGCAACGGUAGCUCGCUUGACUCUUAAUCAAGAGGUUGCAGGUUCGAUUCCUGCUAAG
This 65-nucleotide transfer RNA is filed under the name Desertifilum tharense IPPAS B-1220. RNAcentral's name for it is "Desertifilum sp. IPPAS B-1220 tRNA". It matches the Rfam family "tRNA". From Rfam's summary of the family: Transfer RNA (tRNA) molecules are approximately 80 nucleotides in length. Their secondary structure includes four short double-helical elements and three loops (D, anti-codon, and T loops). Lineage: Bacteria; Bacillati; Cyanobacteriota; Cyanophyceae; Desertifilales; Desertifilaceae. The record is from Rfam by way of RNAcentral.